ACCUCCUUCGGGAGGGGAUUAGUGGCGAACGGGUGAGUAACACGUGGGCAAUCUGCCCUGCACUCUGGGACAAGCCCUGGAAACGGGGUCUAAUACCGGAUAUGAGCCUGGGAGGCAUCUCCCGGGUUGUAAAGCUCCGGCGGUGCAGGAUGAGCCCGCGGCCUAUCAGCUUGUUGGUGAGGUAACGGCUCACCAAGGCGACGACGGGUAGCCGGCCUGAGAGGGCGACCGGCCACACUGGGACUGAGACACGGCCCAGACUCCUACGGGAGGCAGCAGUGGGGAAUAUUGCACAAUGGGCGCAAGCCUGAUGCAGCGACGCCGCGUGAGGGAUGACGGCCUUCGGGUUGUAAACCUCUUUCAGCAGGGAAGAAGCGAAAGUGACGGUACCUGCAGAAGAAGCGCCGGCUAACUACGUGCCAGCAGCCGCGGUAAUACGUAGGGCGCAAGCGUUGUCCGGAAUUAUUGGGCGUAAAGAGCUCGUAGGCGGCUUGUCACGUCGGAUGUGAAAGCCCGGGGCUUAACCCCGGGUCUGCAUUCGAUACGGGCAGGCUAGAGUUCGGUAGGGGAGAUCGGAAUUCCUGGUGUAGCGGUGAAAUGCGCAGAUAUCAGGAGGAACACCGGUGGCGAAGGCGGAUCUCUGGGCCGAUACUGACGCUGAGGAGCGAAAGCGUGGGGAGCGAACAGGAUUAGAUACCCUGGUAGUCCACGCCGUAAACGGUGGGCACUAGGUGUGGGCAACAUUCCACGUUGUCCGUGCCGCAGCUAACGCAUUAAGUGCCCCGCCUGGGGAGUACGGCCGCA
This 804-nucleotide ribosomal RNA is filed under the name Actinomycetes bacterium. RNAcentral's name for it is "bacterial SSU rRNA". It matches the Rfam family "Bacterial small subunit ribosomal RNA", at positions 73 to 890 of the family's 1533-position model. Lineage: Bacteria; Bacillati; Actinomycetota; Actinomycetes. The record is from RNAcentral.